GAUGAACGCUGGCGGCGUGCCUAAUACAUGCAAGUCGAACGCACAGCGAAAGGUGCUUGCACCUUUCAAGUGAGUGGCGAACGGGUGAGUAACACGUGGACAACCUGCCUCAAGGCUGGGGAUAACAUUUGGAAACAGAUGCUAAUACCGAAUAAAAGUUAGUGUCGCAUGACACAAAGUUAAAAGGCGCUUCGGCGUCACCUAGAGAUGGAUCCGCGGUGCAUUAGUUAGUUGGUGGGGUAAAGGCCUACCAAGACAAUGAUGCAUAGCCGAGUUGAGAGACUGAUCGGCCACAUUGGGACUGAGACACGGCCCAAACUCCUACGGGAGGCUGCAGUAGGGAAUCUUCCACAAUGGGCGAAAGCCUGAUGGAGCAACGCCGCGUGUGUGAUGAAGGCUUUCGGGUCGUAAAGCACUGUUGUAUGGGAAGAACAGCUAGAAUAGGAAAUGAUUUUAGUUUGACGGUACCAUACCAGAAAGGGACGGCUAAAUACGUGCCAGCAGCCGCGGUAAUACGUAUGUCCCGAGCGUUAUCCGGAUUUGUUGGGCGUAAAGCGAGCGCAGACGGUUUAUUAAGUCUGAUGUGAAAGCCCGGAGCUCAACUCCGGAAUGGCAUUGGAAACUGGUUAACUUGAGUGCAGUAGAGGUAAGUGGAACUCCAUGUGUAGCGGUGGAAUGCGUAGAUAUAUGGAAGAACACCAGUGGCGAAGGCGGCUUACUGGACUGCAACUGACGUUGAGGCUCGAAAGUGUGGGUAGCAAACAGGAUUAGAUACCCUGGUAGUCCACACCGUAAACGAUGAACACUAGGUGUUAGGAGGUUUCCGCCUCUUAGUGCCGAAGCUAACGCAUUAAGUGUUCCGCCUGGGGAGUACGACCGCAAGGUUGAAACUCAAAGGAAUUGACGGGGACCCGCACAAGCGGUGGAGCAUGUGGUUUAAUUCGAAGCAACGCGAAGAACCUUACCAGGUCUUGACAUCCUUUGAAGCUUUUAGAGAUAGAAGUGUUCUCUUCGGAGACAAAGUGACAGGUGGUGCAUGGUCGUCGUCAGCUCGUGUCGUGAGAUGUUGGGUUAAGUUCCGCAACGAGCGCAACCCUUAUUGUUAGUUGCCAGCAUUCAGGUGGGCACUCUAGCGAGACUGCCGGUGACAAACCGGAGGAAGGCGGGGACGACGUCAGAUCAUCAUGCCCCUUAUGACCUGGGCUACACACGUGCUACAAUGGCGUAUACAACGAGUUGCCAACCCGCGAGGGUGAGCUAAUCUCUUAAAGUACGUCUCAGUUCGGAUUGUAGUCUGCAACUCGACUACAUGAAGUCGGAAUCGCUAGUAAUCGCGGAUCAGCACGCCGCGGUGAAUACGUUCCCGGGUCUUGUACACACCGCCCGUCACACCAUGGGAGUUUGUAAUGCCCAAAGCCGGUGGCCUAACCUUUUAGGAAGGAGCCGUCUAAGGCAGGACAGAUGACUGGGGUG
RNAcentral lists this ribosomal RNA (1473 nucleotides) under Leuconostoc mesenteroides. RNAcentral describes it as "bacterial SSU rRNA". It matches the Rfam family "Bacterial small subunit ribosomal RNA". Lineage: Bacteria; Bacillati; Bacillota; Bacilli; Lactobacillales; Lactobacillaceae. The record is from RNAcentral.